This 119-nucleotide ribosomal RNA is filed under the name Pteropus alecto (black flying fox). Lineage: Eukaryota; Metazoa; Chordata; Mammalia; Chiroptera; Pteropodidae. The record is from RNAcentral.
GUCUACAGCCAUGCCACCCUGAACAUGCCCAAUCUUGUCUGAUCUCAGAAGCUAAGCAGGGUCAGGCCUGGUUAGUACUUGGAUGGGAGACCACCAAGGAAUACCAGGUGCUGUAGGCA